Molecule: non-coding RNA, 423 nt
Organism: Pogona vitticeps (central bearded dragon)
Lineage: Eukaryota; Metazoa; Chordata; Lepidosauria; Squamata; Agamidae
Source: RefSeq, a predicted model, not a curated record
ACAUCCAGACUGAGACCAAUGAAGCCAGAUUUGCAGAUGGCAUGCUUCUGCUAAGCCAAAGUACAUUUCUAGCAAUGUAGAGAUGGACAUCAGCUGCCUGAAAAGAACAGUACGUUGUUUCCUUUUCUCCGCUGGUGGCUCUUUCCCACCAAACGUUCAUACCAGCUUCAUCUCAUUUAGCCACUGUGACUUUGGGGUGACUUCCAAAGCAAUCCAAUCAGAAUGAGUCGGCAGAUUAACACUAACUUUCACAUCAGGAUGGGUGGCAAUGCAAACGGAAGCAGGUUCCAAGGAAAUACUGCGCUCAGACACAAAAUGACAAUAAGCACGUGACUUCUGCUGAAAUGGAAGCUGUAUGCUUACCUUUUCCUUCCCUCUCCAGUUUCCUCUUUUCUGGUUUAUGGCAAGCAAUAAUAUGCAGCU